This 788-nucleotide non-coding RNA is filed under the name Pan troglodytes (chimpanzee). The record is from RNAcentral. Lineage: Eukaryota; Metazoa; Chordata; Mammalia; Primates; Hominidae.
ACUACAAUGCCUCUGACUUUUUCAUAGGACAGUUGGCCGAGGAAGACAAACAUAAAGAUGAAGUGCUUAAUUCAAGGUCACACAAUGUCGGGGAUGGACCUCCAGAUUUCCUUACUGACCUGCAUUAUCUUGUGGAUACCUGAGUGAAUUCCACACCACCCAUUUUAUAGAUGAAACCACUGAGACAUGGAGCAACUGACUGAGUAGUCACUGCCCCACCCCUGCCUGGAGCCUCACACAUGACUCGUCUCCUCUCAGUGACCACAGGAAAACAAGCUCAGGGCUCCCACUGAUUGUACAUUAUGAGACGGAGUCUUGCUAUGUUGCCCAGGCUGGUCUUGAACUCCUCACCUCAAGCGAUCCUCUCGUCUUGGCCUCCCAAGUGUCAGGAUUACAGGCAUGUGCUAUCACACCCAACCUGAUACAUUGCCUUUAUAAAUUUUUUUUUCUUUAUUCUAAAAACCAGAAAAAACAAAACUGGAUACAUGUGCAGAACAUGCAGACCAAGUGUGUUGGGGACUUGAGAUGCGUACAUGAGUGUUUGUGAUGUUUCCUGCCGAAAGCACAGGUGAGACGUGGUCUUGUAACACAGUGGUUAAGAAUGUGACUUUGGAGCCAGCCUGCUAGGGGCUGAAUUCUGACUCAGCCAUUUACUAACUGUGUGACCUUAGGUCACAGAAUUUUCCACACUCCUUGACGGAGGUGCUUAACCCUUAUCCAUCAGCAUUCUCAGACAGCACCUCCGGUUAGGGACAGUAUCUGACCGUCCGACAUCCCUGCAGCCCCCA